GACGAACGCUGGCGGCGUGCUUAACACAUGCAAGUCGAACGGAAAGGCCCGGCUUUUGUGGGGUGCUCGAGGGGCGAACGGGUGAGUAACACGUGAGUAACCUGCCCUUGACUUUGGGAUAACUUCAGGAAACUGGGGCUAAUACCGGAUAGGAGCUCCUGCUGCAGGGUGGGGGUUGGAAAGUUUCGGCGGUUGGGGAUGGACUCGCGGCUUAUCAGCUUGUUGGUGGGGUAGUGGCUUACCAAGGCUUUGACGGGUAGCCGGCCUGAGAGGGUGACCGGCCAAAUUGGGCCUGAGCUACGGCCCAGACUACUACGGGAGGCAGCAGUGGGGAAUAUUGCACAAUGGGCGGAAGCCUGAUGCAGCAACGCCGCGUGCGGGAUGAGGGCCAUCGGGUUGUAAACCGAUUUCGCCUGUGACGAAGCGUGAGUGACGGUAAUGGGUAAAGAAGCACCGGCUAACUACGUG
This 468-nucleotide ribosomal RNA is filed under the name uncultured bacterium. RNAcentral describes it as "partial 16S ribosomal RNA". It matches the Rfam family "Bacterial small subunit ribosomal RNA", at positions 28 to 507 of the family's 1533-position model. The record is from RNAcentral.